GCCAAGCACCAAGAACCGCUGUCGCAGCACACGAACGGGCAUCAAAGUCCCAAAUUAAGCUGUGGGUAAAGUCCCCGGAGCGCCCUUCCGUCCGUGUUCACUCCGUCUUCUCCUCUGCCUCAGAAGGGUUGACGGAUGGAGAGCAUGCGCCCCCAAGUCGGCGUACACCGUUCCCAACAUGGGACGCACGGUUGUUGUCAUUUUAGCCAUGGGGAAUCACGGCGAAGAUACGAGCCGCCCCUUUGGCUACUUGGCCUCGGAUCACUUGCUCAUUAGAAGAUAGGUAUGCGGUUGCCCCUUGUUACUUUUCUCUGCUGGCUUUCGAGAGAAGCUGGCAAGAAGGGGUGAACAGGGGGUUACUCGAUGGGGCUUACUCUGAUGCUUGG
Molecule: RNase MRP RNA, 386 nt
Filed under: Trichosporon asahii var. asahii CBS 8904
Lineage: Eukaryota; Fungi; Basidiomycota; Tremellomycetes; Trichosporonales; Trichosporonaceae
Description: RNase MRP
Rfam family: RNase MRP
About the family: RNase MRP is an enzymatically active ribonucleoprotein with two distinct roles in eukaryotes. In mitochondria it plays a direct role in the initiation of mitochondrial DNA replication.
Source: Rfam by way of RNAcentral